This 368-nucleotide ribosomal RNA is filed under the name Podarcis tiliguerta. RNAcentral's name for it is "12S ribosomal RNA". It matches the Rfam family "Bacterial small subunit ribosomal RNA", at positions 848 to 1384 of the family's 1533-position model. Lineage: Eukaryota; Metazoa; Chordata; Lepidosauria; Squamata; Lacertidae. The record is from RNAcentral.
GUAGUUAUUACAUUACUUUCCGCCAGAGAACUACAAGUGAAAAACUUGAAACUCAAAGGACUUGACGGUGUCCCAUAUCGGCCUAGAGGAGCCUGUCCUAUAAUCGAUACCCCCCGUUCCACCCAACCUCAACUAGCAAAAUAUCAGCCUAUAUACCGCCGUCGACAGUCUACCCCAUGAGGGCUCAACAGUAGACACAACAGCCUUAACGCUAAUACGUCAGGUCAAGGUGUAGCAAAUGUUGAGGAAAAGAUUGGCUACAUUUUUUAUGAUAAAAAACACGAAUUGCACUAUGAAACACUGCAUGAAGGUGAAUUUAGUAGUAAAACAGAUAAGAGUGUCUGUUUUAACAACGCUCUGGGACGCGU